UCCUUUUUUUCUCUGGAGGGCCACAAGGAAGGGUGGUGGUGUUGGAUGGGAAGGCUUGGUUUGUGGUGCUGGGAGCUGCUUGGAGUCCUUGUUCCUCACUGGGUUUUGGCCAACUCUGUUUCUGGCUGUGGCCUUGAGAGCCUGACUCUAGGUGUGGCUGUAUGGGCACCAGCCUUCAGAUCAUGUUCAUCUGCAGAAUAACUGGUAUUGCAUUUUAUCCUCAACCCACGCUCGCUGCCCUUCCUCUCCUUAUCAGUGUUUGUUUACCAGGCUGACUCAGCUCUCACCCUAGAGAACAGCCAUGCAGAGCAGUGCCAUGGCUGGGUCAGCACUGUGCAGAAGCUCUGGAUGGGACAUCCUGGCUGCAAGACCAACAUCAUUCCUUACCCAGGGCCCAUGCUGGAGCCCAGCAUCUGCCCAAGGCAGCACAAUGGCUUCGGACCACUGGAACGUGCCUACAGACUUUUUCACAGAACCACUGUGUGCUGAACCAGACACCACCGUCACAAAGCAUGGUUUGGAUGCUUCUGUAAACCCUUCCAUGAAAAGAGAGGGGAAUCACAGAAUCAUAGGAUGGCCUGGAUUGAAAAGGACCACAAAGAUUAUCUAGUUUCAACCCCCUGCUAUGUGCAGGGUCGCCAACCACCAGACCAGGCUGCCCAGAUCCACAUCCAGCCUGGCCAUUGGGGUGUGCCUGCUCACCUCCAUCCCUAAGCAGGAGCAUGUCUGCACAUCCCAAUCCAUGGACAGACCUUCUGAGGGAGAGUGUCCUGUGUGUAAUCCUAUGGCAAAGCAAGCCAGUAUGUGGUGUGAGAAGAGAAUUCAGCUGUUUCUCCAGAAGGUAUUACAGUCACCUUUGAUGAGCAGAGUCAUUGGCACCGCUCUGUGCUAUUUGCUUUCCUUCAGGAAAGCAGGGGGAUUCCUGAGGUGCUGCUUCAUUGCCUCUGGCCUCCUAGAGAGGAAAUAACCACAUGAUU
Long non-coding RNA from Tympanuchus pallidicinctus (lesser prairie-chicken), 977 nucleotides. RefSeq lists it as uncharacterized. The transcript has 2 exons. Lineage: Eukaryota; Metazoa; Chordata; Aves; Galliformes; Phasianidae. The record is from RefSeq and is a predicted model, not a curated record.